AAUUUAAUAAAUUGAACCAAGAUCUUUGAUGAUGGCGUAUGAACCUCACUGCUAACGCAGAUACAAACAAGUUCAUCCACCCACCACCCACUGCUUCGACCAACACAACAAGUCUCAAAAGCGGCCAUUUCUAGCUAAACAAUCCAAGGUCAAACAGGAGCACUCCAAAUGUUGUGUUAAUACAAAAUUAAUAGCCAUUUGUCAUAGAAAGAAAAUAACGGUCGACAAUCCACGAGGAUUGGAAGCAAG
Molecule: long non-coding RNA, 249 nt
Filed under: Medicago truncatula (barrel medic)
Lineage: Eukaryota; Viridiplantae; Streptophyta; Magnoliopsida; Fabales; Fabaceae
Description: long non-coding RNA (MTRU_LNC001869)
Source: RNAcentral